AGUCCCGCAACGAGCGCAACCCUUAUAGUUAGUUGAUUUCUCUAGCUAGACUGCCCUGGUAACAGGGAGGAAGGAGGGGAUGAUGUCAGGUCAGUAUUACCCUUACGUCUGGGGCUACAAACACGCUACAAUGGCCGGUACAAAGGGCAGCCAACCCGCGAGGGGGAGCUAAUCCCAUCAAAGCCGGUCUCAGUUCGGAUUGCAGGCUGAAACUCGCCUGCAUGAAGCUGGAAUCGCUAGUAAUGGUAGGUCAGCUAUACUACCGUGAAUACGUUCCCGGGUCUUGUACACACCGCCCGUCAAACCAUGAAAGUGGCCAACACCCGAAGUCUGAUUACAGCCUAAGGUGGGGGACAUGAUUGGGGUUAAGUCGUAACAAGGUAACCGUAA
This 390-nucleotide ribosomal RNA is filed under the name uncultured bacterium. RNAcentral's name for it is "bacterial SSU rRNA". It matches the Rfam family "Bacterial small subunit ribosomal RNA", at positions 1083 to 1505 of the family's 1533-position model. The record is from RNAcentral.